GGAAUAUUGCACAAUGGAGGAAACUCUGAUGCAGCGAUGCCGCGUGAGUGAAGAAGGCCUUUGGGUUGUAAAGCUCUUUCGUCGGGGAAGAAAAUGACUGUACCCGAAUAAGAAGGUCCGGCUAACUUCGUGCCAGCAGCCGCGGUAAUACGAAGGGACCUAGCGUAGUUCGGAAUUACUGGGCUUAAAGAGUUCGUAGGUGGUUAAAAAAGUUGGUGGUGAAAUCCCAGAGCUUAACUCUGGAACUGCCAUCAAAACUUUUUAGCUAGAGUAUGAUAGAGGAAAGCAGAAUUUCUAGUGUAGAGGUGAAAUUCGUAGAUAUUAGAAAGAAUACCAAUUGCGAAGGCAGCUUUCUGGAUCAUUACUGACGCUGAGGAACGAAAGCAUGGGUAGCGAAGAGGAUUAGAUACCCUCGUAGUCCAUGCCGUAAACGAUGUGUGUUAGACGUUGGAAAUUUAUUUUCAGUGUCGCAGCGAAAGCAUUAAACACACCGCCUGGGGAGUACGACCGCAAGGUUAAAACUCAAAUGAAUUGACGGGGACCCGCACAAGUAGUGGAGCAUGUGGUUUAAUUCGAAGAUACGCGCAGAACCUUACCAACACUUGACAUGUUCGUCGCGACUCUAAGAGAUUAGAGUUUUCGGUUCGGCCGGACGAAACACAGGUGCUGCAUGGCUGUCGUCAGCUCGUGUCGUGAGAUGUUGGGUUAAGUCCCGCAACGAGCGCAACCCUCACUUUUAGUUGCCAUCAUUUAGUUGGGCACUCUGAAAGAACUGCCAGUGAUAAGCUGGAGGAAGGUGGGGAUGACGU
RNAcentral lists this ribosomal RNA (809 nucleotides) under marine metagenome. RNAcentral's name for it is "bacterial SSU rRNA". It matches the Rfam family "Bacterial small subunit ribosomal RNA", at positions 358 to 1185 of the family's 1533-position model. The record is from RNAcentral.